Molecule: ribosomal RNA, 406 nt
Filed under: uncultured bacterium
Lineage: Bacteria
Description: partial 16S ribosomal RNA
Rfam family: Bacterial small subunit ribosomal RNA
Source: RNAcentral
AUUGAACGCUGGCGGCAGGCCUAACACAUGCAAGUCGAACGAGUGGCGGACGGGUGAGUAAUGUCUGGGAAACUGCCCGAUGGAGGGGGAUAACUACUGGAAACGGUAGCUAAUACCGCAUACCAUCGGAUGUGCCCAGAUGGGAUUAGCUUGUAGGUGGGGUAACGGCUCACCUAGGCGACGAUCCCUAGCUGGUCUGAGAGGAUGACCAGCCACACUGGAAGUGGGAUACUGUCCAGACGCCUAGGGGAGGAAGGAGUGGGGAAUAUUGCACAAGGGGCGCAAGCCUGAUGCAGACAUGCCGCGGGUAUGAAGAAGGCCGUCGGGUUGUAAAGUACUUUCAGCGGGGAGGCGUUACCCGCAGAAGAAGCACCGGCUAACUCCGUGCCAGCAGCCGCGGUAAUAC